UAGUAUACAUACAUUAACCUAUUUCUUCGCAAUGUUGCGUAUACGCAACACGAGGUGUUUAAUUAAUUACUGACGUCAGUAAUUAUUUUUUUUCACGAAGUGUUACAUUGUGAUAAUAAGUUCAUUUUGACUGCAUUUUGUGAAGUUAAACUUCAUGUUGCGUAUACGCAACAUUAGGAAGAAAUGGUGGGUUAAGUACGCAACAUUAGUGCAUCGUCAUCAGUGGGAUAUACAUUAUAGUGAUUGAUUAGGAUUUUUUUGAUUAAACAUCAGUGAUUGAUUAAGAAUAUUAUAUUAUAUAUAUACAUACAUGAAGUACGCAAUAUCGGUGCAUCGUCAUCAUCAUCAGUGGGAUACAUUAGUGAUUGAUAUAUCGUCAUCAUCAGUGGGAUACAUUAGUGAUUGAUUAGGAUAUUUUCUGGUUAAAUAUCAGUGAUUAAGAAAAAGAAGCUUCGGACAUUCGUGCUAUAGAAAAUCUCAAGGACUUCACACCGCCGCGAAAAAAGAAAAAAGGUUGAGAAUCGUAUGGAUAAUAUGGACGAUAUGGAGGACGAAUUGCAAAAAAUCGCUAUAGAGCAAGAAAACGCAAUUAGACAAAAUAGAGGCCCAACUUAAAACAUUAAUUACAAAAAAAGAGGAUACUUCUGCAAAUAAUUCCCGAUCAAGGGGUAUUAGUGCUGGCAGAAGCCGAGUAAUCUGGAAGGUCCGUCGUGGACGUGGGAGAGCAGGACGCGGCCAAUACAUAAAAUAAAUAAAAA
Molecule: long non-coding RNA, 758 nt
Organism: Harpegnathos saltator (Jerdon's jumping ant)
Lineage: Eukaryota; Metazoa; Arthropoda; Insecta; Hymenoptera; Formicidae
Exons: 3
Source: RefSeq, a predicted model, not a curated record